GGCAGGGUAGCUCAGUUGGUAGAGCGCCAGACUCAUAAUCUGGAGGUCGUGGGUUCGAAACCCACCCCCGCCA
This 73-nucleotide transfer RNA is filed under the name archaeon. RNAcentral describes it as "tRNA-Met". It matches the Rfam family "tRNA". Rfam says of the family: Transfer RNA (tRNA) molecules are approximately 80 nucleotides in length. Their secondary structure includes four short double-helical elements and three loops (D, anti-codon, and T loops). The record is from RNAcentral.